Molecule: small RNA, 27 nt
Filed under: Bombyx mori (domestic silkworm)
Lineage: Eukaryota; Metazoa; Arthropoda; Insecta; Lepidoptera; Bombycidae
Description: piRNA piR-bmo-1958333
Source: RNAcentral
UCAGAGUAUGGGCAAAACAUGGGAUGU